Molecule: ribosomal RNA, 403 nt
Filed under: uncultured bacterium
Lineage: Bacteria
Description: partial 16S ribosomal RNA
Rfam family: Bacterial small subunit ribosomal RNA
Source: RNAcentral
AUUGAACGCUGGCGGCAGGCCUAACACAUGCAAGUCGAGCGAGCGGCGGACGGGUGAGUAAUGUAUGGGGACUGCCCGAUAGAGGGGGAUAACUACUGGAAACGGUAGCUAAUACCGCAUACUAUCGGAUAACCCAUAUGGGAUUAGCUAGUUGGUGAGGUAAUGGCUCACCAAGGCUACGAUCCCUAGCUGGUCUGAGAGGAUGCUCAGCAACACUGGGACUCAGACACGGCGCAGACUCCUACGGAGGCAGCAGCGGGGAAUAUUGAACACUGGGCGCAAGCCUGAUGCAGCCAUGCCGAGUGUAUGAAGAAGGCCCUAUGGUUGUAAAGUACGUUCAGUCGGGAGGCGUUACCGACAGAAGAAGCACCGGCUAACUCCGUGCCAGCAGCCGCGGUAAUAC